This 496-nucleotide ribosomal RNA is filed under the name uncultured bacterium. RNAcentral describes it as "partial 16S ribosomal RNA". It matches the Rfam family "Bacterial small subunit ribosomal RNA", at positions 30 to 523 of the family's 1533-position model. The record is from RNAcentral.
AUUGAACGCUGGCGGAAUGCUUUACACAUGCAAGUCGAACGGUAGAGGGGGCAACCCCUCGAGAGUGGCGAACGGGUGAGUAAUAUAUCGGAACGUGCCCAGUCGUGGGGGAUAACGUAGCGAAAGUUACGCUAAUACCGCAUACGAUCUAAGGAUGAAAGCGGGGGAUCGCAAGACCUCGCGCGAUUGGAGCGGCCGAUAUCAGAUUAGGUAGUUGGUGGGGUAAAGGAGCACCAAGCCAACGAUCUGUAGCUGGUCUGAGAGGACGACCAGCCACACUGGAACUGAGACGCGGUCCAGCCUCCGACGGGCGGCAGCAGGGGGGAAUUUUGGACAAGGGACGCAAGUCUGAUCCAGCCAUUCCGCGUUCAGGAUGAAGGCCCUCGGGUUGUAAACUGCUUUUGUACGGAACGAAAAGGUCUCUCUUAAUAUGGGGGACUCAUGACGGUACCGUAAGAAUAAGCACCGGCUAACUACGUGCCAGCCGCCGCGGUAA